RNAcentral lists this ribosomal RNA (979 nucleotides) under Pseudomonas sp. YSA8_1E9. RNAcentral's name for it is "bacterial SSU rRNA". It matches the Rfam family "Bacterial small subunit ribosomal RNA", at positions 80 to 1193 of the family's 1533-position model. Lineage: Bacteria; Pseudomonadati; Pseudomonadota; Gammaproteobacteria; Pseudomonadales; Pseudomonadaceae. The record is from RNAcentral.
GAGGUGGGAAGGGUUGUUGUCCGGGGACGGGUGAUAAUGCUAAUCUCCUGGUUGGGGAGCGUAACGCUAAUACCGCAUACGUCCUACGGGAGAAAGCAGGGGACCUUCGGGCCUUGCGCUAUCAGAUGAGCCUAGGUCGGAUUAGCUAGUUGGUGGGGUAAUGGCUCACCAAGGCGACGAUCCGUAACUGGUCUGAGAGGAUGAUCAGUCACACUGGAACUGAGACACGGUCCAGACUCCUACGGGAGGCAGCAGUGGGGAAUAUUGGACAAUGGGCGAAAGCCUGAUCCAGCCAUGCCGCGUGUGUGAAGAAGGUCUUCGGAUUGUAAAGCACUUUAAGUUGGGAGGAAGGGCAGUAAGUAAUACCUUGCUGUUUUGACGUUACCGACAGAAUAAGCACCGGCUAACUCUGUGCCAGCAGCCGCGGUAAUACAGAGGGUGCAAGCGUUAAUCGGAAUUACUGGGCGUAAAGCGCGCGUAGGUGGUUCGUUAAGUUGGAUGUGAAAGCCCCGGGCUCAACCUGGGAACUGCAUCCAAAACUGGCGAGCUAGAGUACGGUAGAGGGUGGUGGAAUUUCCUGUGUAGCGGUGAAAUGCGUAGAUAUAGGAAGGAACACCAGUGGCGAAGCGACCACCUGGACUGAUACUGACACUGAGUGCGAAAGCGUGGGGAGCAAACAGGAUUAGAUACCCUGGUAGUCCACGCCGUAAACGAUGUCAACUAGCCUUGGAAUCCUUGAAUUUUAGUGCGCACUAACGCAUUAAGUUACCGCUGGGGAGUACGCCGAAUCAAUGAAUUGACGGGGCCCGCAACGGUGGAGCAUGUGGUUUAAUUCGAAGCAACGCGAAAACUACCGGCCUUGACAUGCAGAGAACUUUCAAUGGAUGGGCCUGGGAUCUGACACCUGCAUGGUGUCGCAGCUCUGCGAGGGGACCAACACUCUGGGCACUCUAUGCAGGGAUACUCGCUGGGGCAUCAA